This is an RNA transcript of Zea mays, 3920 nucleotides long. It is a transcript of the gene named protein translocase subunit SECA2, chloroplastic, with no coding region annotated. The transcript has 30 exons. The record is from RefSeq and is a predicted model, not a curated record. Lineage: Eukaryota; Viridiplantae; Streptophyta; Magnoliopsida; Poales; Poaceae.
CUGAGUACCCGAUGAGUAUUUACGAUUGCAUCUCUAAUCCUCCCCAACCCUCUUCCGGUUCUUCUCAUCCCAACUGACCGACUACCAUGGCCGGCGGCGGCGGCGGCUCUCUGUCUAGCCCCUCCGCCUCCUUCCUUUCCAGUCCCACCCCAACACCGCCCCCUCGUCUCCUCCGCAGGUGUAGCACGAAGUCUGCCUCACGAGAUAGCCCCAUCCUCAGACCAAAAAAGCCGCCUCCACUCUUCUGCGCGGCGGCAGCCACUCCCACCCCCGCUCCCGCGGCCGCGUCCAAGUCGGCUGGGUCAUGGAGGGACCUGUGCAGUCUCAACGCCUGGGUGGUGCGAGACUACCGCCGCCUUGUCGACUCCGUCGGCGCGCUCGAGCCGGCGCUUCGGAGGCUCUCUGAGGAACAGUUGAAGGCGAAGACGGCCGAGUUCCGCAGCCGCCUAACGCGCGGGGAGACGCUCGCCGACGUCCAGGCCGAUGCGUUUGCUGUGGUACGUGAGGCGGCUAGGAGGACGCUUGGGAUGCGGCAUUUCGACGUCCAGAUAAUUGGCGGUGCUGUGCUCCAUGACGGCUGCAUUGCAGAGAUGAAGACAGGCGAGGGGAAGACGCUUGUUUCCACACUUGCGGCUUAUCUAAAUGCCCUUACAGGGAAAGGGGUUCAUGUGGUGACUGUAAAUGAUUAUUUGGCACAGCGUGAUGCUGAAUGGAUGGGUCGUGUUCAUCGCUUUCUCGGUCUUACUGUUGGUCUGAUUCAGGCGGGUAUGAAGUCAGAUGAGAGAAGAGCUAGCUACAGAUGUGACAUUACAUACACUAACAACUCGGAACUUGGAUUUGACUAUCUUCGUGACAACCUAUCUCGAAACAAAGAACAACUAGUUAUGAGAUGGCCAAGGCCAUUCCAUUUUGCUAUUGUGGACGAAGUGGACUCAGUACUUAUAGAUGAGGGAAGGAAUCCAUUAUUAAUAAGUGGAGAGGAUAAUAGAGAUGCAGUUCGGUAUCCAAUUGCUGCUAAAGUCGCAGAACUUCUUAUGGAGGGUGUUCAUUACACCGUUGAACUAAAGGGCAAUAAUAUAGAUCUGACAGAGGACGGUGUAGCACAUGCUGAGAUUAUUCUUGGGACAGAUGAUCUAUGGGAUGAGAAUGAUCCAUGGGCAAGGUUUGUGAUGAAUGCUUUGAAGGCAAAAGUGUUCUACCGAAGGGAUGUCCAGUAUAUUGUCAGGGAUGGGAAAGCUAUUAUAAUUAAUGAGUUAACCGGCCGAGUUGAACCCAAGAGAAGAUGGUCUGAUGGUAUCCACCAAGCAGUAGAAGCAAAAGAAGGCCUAAAAAUCCAGGCAGACUCGGUAAUUGUGGCUCAAAUCACAUAUCAGUCAUUGUUUAAGCUUUAUCCUAAACUUUCUGGGAUGACAGGAACUGCUAAGACAGAGGAAAAGGAGUUUUCAAAGAUGUUCAAGAUGCCUGUUAUUGAAGUACCUACGAAUCUGCCAAAUAUACGGGUGGACUUGCCUAUCCAAGCUUUUGCGACUGCAAGAGGCAAAUGGCAAUAUGUACGGGCUGAAGUAGAGUCUAUGUUCCAAUUAGGUCGCCCUGUUUUAGUUGGAACUACAAGUGUCGAGAGUUCUGAAUACUUGUCAGAGCUACUUAAAGUUCACAAGAUUCCACACAAUGUCCUUAAUGCAAGGCCAAAGUAUGCUGCAAGAGAAGCCGAAAUAAUUGCCCAAGCUGGAAGAAAACAUGCUAUUACAAUAUCUACUAAUAUGGCUGGCAGAGGAACUGACAUUAUUUUAGGUGGUAAUCCAAAAAUGCUUGCAAAAGAAAUAGUAGAAGAUAACAUACUUCCAUUUUUGACCCAUGAACCUCCUAAUAUUGACAUGGAAGGGGAAUCCACAUCCCACAAGGGUCUCUCAAAUGUAGAACUUAGUCCAUCAUCAGUAGGUCUGCUUGCCAAAGCUGCAAUCAUGUCAAAAUAUAUUCACAAAAGCGAGAGAAAUGAAUGGUCUUUGAGUAAGGCAAAAUCCACUAUUGCUGAAUCUAUAGAAAUGGGUCAAAUGAUUGGGAUGGAGAAACUGCAAGAGCGCAUGACUGAAGAGUCUGAGAUGUACCCUCUUUGUGAUGCAAUAGGACUUGCUUAUCUCAGUGUCUUAAGGGAUUGCGAAGUUCAUUGUUCUUUUGAAGGUGCUGCAGUGAAGAGAUUAGGUGGGCUUCAUGUAGUAGGAACCUCUUUGCAUGAGUCACGCCGAAUUGAUAACCAACUGCGCGGCAGAGCAGGCAGACAGGGUGAUCCUGGGUCGACACGGUUUAUGGUGAGCUUACAAGAUGAAAUAUUCCAGAAAUUUAAUCUGGACACUGAAUGGGCCGUGAGGCUAAUAUCAAGGAUAACGAAUGAUGAAGACAUAGCUAUCGAGAGCAAUGUUGUUGUGAAACAGCUUCUAGGCCUUCAAAUCAACGCGGAGAAAUAUUAUUUUGGAAUAAGGAAAAGUCUGGUUGAGUUCGAUGAAGUCCUGGAGGUCCAAAGAAAGCAUGUAUACAACCUUAGGCAGGUGAUAUUAUCUGGUGACUCUGAAAGCUGCAGUGAACAAAUUUUCCAGUACAUGCAAGCGGUAGCUGAUGAAAUUGUUUUGGUAAAUGUUGACCCCCAAAAGCCACCCAAGGCAUGGAAUCUGGUAAAGCUUUUGGAUGAAUUUGUUAGUCUAGGCGGAAAACUGAGUGAAUCAUUCAAGGACAUCCGAGAGCAAAACCUCCAAUCAGCACUUGAGCAAAUGCAAGGUUGGGGUCCUGUGAAGGCUGAUAGUUUCGCCCUUCCAAACAUGCCGUUGCCGCCCGAUUCAUUCAGAGGAAUUCGAAAAAGAACAUCUUCAAUAACGCGGUGGUUUUCCAUUUGUGUUGAUGAUACGUCAAAUUUGUAUGUUGCUUCUUUUCGAUAAAUCAAUCCAGGAAAGGGAGAUAUACAAACACUGUGAAUCUGCUCCGGAAAUAUUUUGGGGAUUUUCUAAUAGCUACCUACUUGAAUGCCGUGCAAGAGUCCCGUUAUGACGAUGCUUAUAUAGGUGGAAUUGAGAGGGAAGUACUAUUGAAGACUCUUGAUACAUUAUGGAAAGACCAUUUGGUAAACAUGAACAAGCUUAGUUCUGCUGUGAACGUUCGGAGUUUUGGACACAGAAAUCCUCUGGAAGAGUACAAGAUCGAUGGCUGCCGCUUCUUCAUCUCAAUGUUGAGCGCCACACGACGUCUCACCGUGGAAUCCCUUGUGCACUACUGGUCGUCGCCCAUGGAGUCCGAGGAGAUCUUCAACACAGAGGAUCAAUAGCAGAAGACCUGACGUGGACUGGUGCUGCAAGUUGUGGGCAGGUUAAUUAGCAGAGAGGCACAGGUAUAAACAGGAGCCGCGCGCGGCGUGUGUUAACCCUGUAAAAUCACAAGCUGACAUGGCCACGGUUGCGUCGAUUUCGCGCUGUGGCUGUGCACCUACAUAUAAAACUAAGUACAUCUCAAUGCACAAGAGGGUAGUAACUGGAUAGGUGUGGACUGCAAGACAGUCUGAUCCAUCCCACAUCAGCAAUACGGCGUUGCCGCAAAGUUGGCAUCUCGUUCACAGUGUACUGUGGUCCUUUAGCCUGUCAUGAUGAUGAAAAAGUCCGCUCUGUACCUUUUUCUUUCAUCGCUCGUCAGACGGAACAGGAGAGUGCGGAAUCUCUUGCUUGUGGAUGACGAACUCUUCGUGCAGGUAGGUACGCAGCCUAGUGGUCAUGCUUUGACAUUGCCAAAUAUUUGGUUUUUAAUUUUUUUUCGGGCGUGUGAUGGUGGCAAUUUGUAAGUAAAAAACUCUAGGGAGUAUGGUACCGAUUUAACCUGUGUGUACUGCUGCAGUUGCAACAAUAUACUGUACAAAAAGUAGAAGCCCGUGAAUUAAAGCUUAA